AGACGUAGGAUGCAAGUGUUAUCCGGAAUCACUGGGCGUAAAGCGUCUGUAGGUUGUUUGGUAAGUCCAAUGUUAAAGGUUGAAGGCUCAACUUCAAAAAUGCGUUGGAAACUACUAGACUGGAGUAUAAUUGAAGCAGAAGGAAUUUCUAGUGAAGCGGUGAAAUGCGUAGAUAUUAGAAGGACCACCAAAGGCGAAAGCAUUCUGUUAAAUUAUUACUGACACUCAGAGACGAAAGCUAGGGUAGCAAAUGGGAUUAGAUACCCCAGUAGUCCUAGCCGUAAACGAUGGAUACUAGACAUUGCACGUGUCGAUCCGUGCGGUGUCAAAGCUAACGCGUUAAGUAUCCCGCCUGGGAAUUAUGCUCGCAAGAGUGAAACUCAAGGAAUUGACGGGGCCCGCACAAGCGGUGGAGCAUGUGGUUUAAUUUGAUGCAACGCGAAGAACCUUACCAGGAUUUGACAUGUAACUUAAG
This 475-nucleotide ribosomal RNA is filed under the name uncultured bacterium. Its description in RNAcentral is "bacterial SSU rRNA". It matches the Rfam family "Bacterial small subunit ribosomal RNA", at positions 523 to 997 of the family's 1533-position model. The record is from RNAcentral.